RNAcentral lists this ribosomal RNA (415 nucleotides) under uncultured crenarchaeote. Its description in RNAcentral is "partial 16S ribosomal RNA". It matches the Rfam family "Archaeal small subunit ribosomal RNA", at positions 330 to 747 of the family's 1478-position model. Lineage: Archaea; Thermoproteati; Thermoproteota. The record is from RNAcentral.
GUGCAGCAGUCGCGAAAACUUCGCAAUACACGAAAGUGUGACGAGGCCAUCCCGAGUGCCAUCCGCUGAGGAUGGCUUUUCCCCAGUGUAGAUAGCUGGGGGAAUAAGGAGAGGGCAAGUCUGGUGUCAGCCGCCGCGGUAAUACCAGCUCUCCGAGUGGUAGGGACGAUUAUUGGGCUUAAAGCGUCCGUAGCCGGCUCAGCAAGUCUCCCGUUAAAUCCAACGAUUCAAUCGUUGGACUGCGGGAGAUACUGUUGAGCUAGGAGGCGUGAGAGGCCGACGGUAUUCCCGGAGUAGGGGUGAAAUCUUAUAAUUCCGGGAGGACCACCAGUGGCGAAGGCUGUCGGCUAGAACGCGCUCGACGGUGAGGGACGAAAGCUGGGGGAGCGAACCGGAUUAGAUACCCGGGUAGUCC